RNAcentral lists this transfer RNA (83 nucleotides) under Parasphingorhabdus halotolerans. It matches the Rfam family "tRNA". Rfam says of the family: Transfer RNA (tRNA) molecules are approximately 80 nucleotides in length. Their secondary structure includes four short double-helical elements and three loops (D, anti-codon, and T loops). Lineage: Bacteria; Pseudomonadati; Pseudomonadota; Alphaproteobacteria; Sphingomonadales; Sphingorhabdaceae. The record is from Rfam by way of RNAcentral.
GGACAGGUGGCCGAGUGGUUAAAGGCAGCAGACUGUAAAUCUGCCCGUGUAAGCGUACAUAGGUUCGAAUCCUAUCCUGUCCA